GGAUUUUUAGUAUAUUUUAGUAUACCCGGUUGCAGACCGGGGGGAUGGGGGUCUU
RNAcentral lists this transfer RNA (55 nucleotides) under Ophidascaris baylisi. Its description in RNAcentral is "tRNA-Cys". The record is from RNAcentral. Lineage: Eukaryota; Metazoa; Nematoda; Chromadorea; Rhabditida; Anisakidae.